GAGGGUAUAGCUCAAGUGGUAGAGCACAUGCUUAGCAUGCCCAAGGUCCUGGGUUCAAUCCCCAGUACCUCCU
This 73-nucleotide transfer RNA is filed under the name Camelus bactrianus (Bactrian camel). It matches the Rfam family "tRNA". Rfam says of the family: Transfer RNA (tRNA) molecules are approximately 80 nucleotides in length. Their secondary structure includes four short double-helical elements and three loops (D, anti-codon, and T loops). Further hydrogen bonds mediate the characteristic L-shaped molecular structure. tRNAs have two regions of fundamental functional importance: the anti-codon, which is responsible for specific mRNA codon recognition, and the 3' end, to which the tRNAs corresponding amino acid is attached (by aminoacyl-tRNA synthetases). tRNAs cope with the degeneracy of the genetic code in two manners: having more than one tRNA (with a specific anti-codon) for a particular amino acid; and 'wobble' base-pairing, i.e. permitting non-standard base-pairing at the 3rd anti-codon position. Lineage: Eukaryota; Metazoa; Chordata; Mammalia; Artiodactyla; Camelidae. RNAcentral also lists the same sequence under 1 other name. The record is from Rfam by way of RNAcentral.